AGGUUAAGCUAAUAAGUGCGCACGGAGGAUGCCUAGGCGCCAGGAGCCGAUGAAGGACGCGACGAACAGCGAUAUGCUUCGGGGAGCUGUAAGUGA
Molecule: ribosomal RNA, 96 nt
Filed under: Cohnella sp. CIP 111063
Lineage: Bacteria; Bacillati; Bacillota; Bacilli; Caryophanales; Paenibacillaceae
Description: partial 23S ribosomal RNA
Rfam family: Bacterial large subunit ribosomal RNA
Source: RNAcentral